GUUCCGCUGGGAGGCGGGAGGAGUGAAAGCUGCGUUUCUCGAAGGAGGCGUCUGGGGGCCGGGAAGAUGGACACGGAAGCGCACCGCUUGGGUGAUCCGUGCGUGCGACCGGCGCGACGGCGACGGGUCUGCUCCAGGGCGCAGGCGCCGAGACCUGCUGGGUGCGGCGUUUCUCUCGCCUGAUUGUAAGCUCCUUGAGGACAAGGGACUGUGGCUUUUUUGGCUCCCUGUAUAGCCGCAUAUCUAGCAUGUGUUAUAGAGUGGCUGUUACCAAGCAGGUAUGUCACAGAGUUCUUAAUAUUGAUUUAUGCUUCAGUGUGCUGAUUUCUUCAAGCACUUUUAAUAAUGAAGGUGAGAAAACUGAAGCAUUGAAGUUUUAAUUUGCUUGUGGUAAAAUGGAAGACACAGAAGUGAAAAAAAUAACAUGCAUACUAUUCCAGCUAUGUAAAAUUAUACGUAUGUAUAUAUAUAUAUGCACAAAAAUAUUAAAACAAAGAAAUUUGACCUUUAUCACUGGCUGAUGAGAUGUCUAUGCUUUGUGUUAAGAGAAAAA
This is a long non-coding RNA of Hippopotamus amphibius kiboko, 553 nucleotides long. RefSeq lists it as uncharacterized. The transcript has 4 exons. NCBI's taxonomy places the organism in Eukaryota, Metazoa, Chordata, Mammalia, Artiodactyla, Hippopotamidae. The record is from RefSeq and is a predicted model, not a curated record.